RNAcentral lists this ribosomal RNA (474 nucleotides) under uncultured bacterium. RNAcentral describes it as "partial 16S ribosomal RNA". It matches the Rfam family "Bacterial small subunit ribosomal RNA", at positions 28 to 507 of the family's 1533-position model. The record is from RNAcentral.
GAUGAACGCUAGCGGCAGGCCUAACACAUGCAAGUCGAGCGAGGAGCUUUCGGGCUUCGACCGGCGUACGGGGGCGUAACGCGGAUACAAACUGCCUUUCACAUAGGGAUAGCCCGAAGUAAUUUGGAGUAAUACCGGAUGGUAUAUAGUAGUAGCUUCUCCUUUAUAUUAAAGCUUAGACGGUGAAAGAUGUGUAUGCGUUCGUUUAGCUAGUUGGAGAGGUAACGGCUCUCCAAGGCGACGAUGGAUAGGGGUUCUGAGGGGGGUAUCCCCCAGACGGGUACCGAGAUACGGACGACACUCCUACGGGACGCAGCAGUGAGGGAGACUGGAGAAUGGUCGGAAGACUGAUCCAGCCAUGCCGGGUGCAGGAAGACGGCGUUAGGGGUGGUAAACUGCUUUUGCAGGGGAAGAAUAAGGACUACGCGUAGUUUGAUGACGGUACUCUGCGAAUAAGCAUCGGCUAACUACGUG